UACUCCAGACUACGUAGCUGUUCAGGAAACUACAAAAUGACAAAGCGUUAAGAGAAUGGAGAUGGAGUUAUCUCAAUGUUAACAUAGUCUACACCCACUCACAACCGUGGUCAGCUUCUCUCAUCUUCUGAGUAUUAACGACCUCUGCUUCCUCCAGUCCCUUCCUUCAACUCCAGGCAAGCAGUAGGAUGACUCUGACAGCCCUCAAACCUGGUUUCACGUGACCAUACUGAACUACUGACGUUUUGUGUUGCGUUGCCUUUAGAGGAUGAACUUCCUCAAUCCCUCAGAUCUCUCAAAAUUCCCAGGGAAGAGGAAUGAGGUAGAGUUCUGUCUUCAAACAGAGCACUGUCUGUUCUGCGUGAAAUGUGGACCCUGAGGCAGAACGUGGUUGGGCGGAGCAGGUCGAAUGCCUAUGGAGCUGUACUCCAAGGCUUGGUCGUGGGCUCCUUGCUCUUUCACAGUGCGAGGCCGUGUUAAUGGCUGGGUCACAGCCGCGUGUUCCAGAUGUGACUGUUCACCACCGGCUAGCCACGUGGAUUCACCAUAUUUUAGCAAUAUUUUAAAAAGCCAGGGAAAGUCAUAGUCCCUUCCUAACCCAGUGGCUGGUGUGUCGUGUUUUGCCAGCUCCAUCACGAUAAGAAGUGAUUCAAACUACAUGGGCCAGUAGAGGCCGACCUGUUGGAGCACUAAACCCCACGUACUUCUUACCCAGACUCAGUAGGGAGACAAGCAGCCCUGCCGGCUUCAGAGUGGGUAAACAGAGGGUCCAAAUACGUUUUCACCCCCCUUAGAAACAGACACAGUCCCGCAAAAAGCCUAGCUCACCAAGCAAGAUGGCUCUGACCUGAGCAGUGGGGACUGGAAGCCGCUCCACGUGACCCGUCCUCCUCCGGGACCCGACGAGGCGCACCUGCAGGGCCAGAGGGCGCGGAAACACCUGGCAGGAGGCGUGCCCAGCCCGCUUUGGACUCCAGUGUCCUGGAACUCGCACACGCGCCCCAGGGUUACCUGGCAGGCCCCUCGUCACAAAGGCCUGCAGAGACUUCCGCCUGGUUGCCUAUCACGAGAUCGCGCGAGACUUGGAGGACUGCACCUGCCUUCACUUCUCCAGUCCCGGGGCGUGUGGCGCAGAAGGCUCCAGAAAGUCAAGUGGUACAUCAGACAAUGGACUCAGAAGAGGAAGUGAACAGAUAACACUCAAGAAUGAAAGGUCAGUGCUGAUGCCAAAGUCAAGAUCCAAGUCUAAGAAGAAUAAAAGAUUGCUGUGGUGGAAAGAACAUGAACCUGUUUGCUCCUUUGUGGAAUCAGAGUUGACCAGAGAACCAGAUAAACAGAAUAGCUUCAACUUCCACUCUAUGCUUCAGAUACAACAUUGGUUCCCGGGUCAUCCCAUUUCUCAUAAUCUUGAGCAAGUCACUUCACCUCAGUGUCUCCAGUAACAAAAUGAUGCAGCUGGACUGGAUGACCUCAUGCAUUUCUUUCAGCUUUAGGAACUCUCUAGCAUAAGCAACCGGUUGUGCCAUCUUCCAAUCACACUACCCACUGGGAUAACUGUGAAAAACCUACAAGAGCAUGCUUCAUCGCUGGGUAAUUCCCCUUCCUUUUUCCCCUCAUUAUAGGUAAUUAUUUUUAAAAUGAAAAAGUAGGGAAACUUUCCUGUUUGGCCUCUAAAAUAAGAAAGCUGGGUGCGAUCAAUUUCCCAUUCAAUUUCCCAUUCAUCAAGAUGAACUUGAGAUCCAAUGUCAAUCAGUUCCCCCAUCUAUGAGCAUAAGGAUAACCCAGAUAACUUUAGAAAGACCCAUUUUUUCAUCUAGCGAAACAGAAGUACCUUCUAGCCGGCGCCGCGGCUCACUAGGCUAAUCCUCCGCCUUGCAGCGCCGGCACACCAGGUUCUAGUCCCAGUGGGGGUGCCGGAUUCUGUCCCGGUUGCCCCUCUUCCAGGCCAGCUCUCUGCUGUGGCCAGGGAGUGCAGUGGAGGAUGGCCCAAGUCCUUGGGCCCUGCACCCCAUGGGAGACCAGGAGAAGCACCUGGCUGCUGCCUGCAGAUCAGCGCGGUGCGCCGGCCACAGUGCGCUGGCCGCGGCAGCCAUUGGAGGGUGAGCCAACGGCAAAGGAAGACCUUUCUCUCUGUCUCUCUCUCUCACUGUCCACUCUGCCUGUCAAAACAAACAAACAAACAAACAACAACCUUCUUUCUGGACUGACAGCUGAUUAAAGGCACUUCUACAAAAUACUGUUUUCUAAAGGAACCAUGUGCAGUCACUCCAAAAACUGGGCAGCACAUGUAACUUUAUCCCUCUAUCCCUACUGGUUCAGGAGGUGUUUUUGUGAUACUUGUUUCAUCACAGGAGCAAAUCAUAGGACAGCAUAGUAAUUUCAUUUACCCACUUCCUGGAAGCCAUUCACAAAACAAAACAAGUACAAAUGUUUCUCAGUUGUGCCUUCUAACUUUCUUAGUGGUUGAAGCACAUCUUUCUUGUAAUAUAAAACCUGGAUACUGGGGCGGCGCUGUGGUGUAGUGGGUAAAGCCUCUGCCUGCAGUGCCGGCAUCCCAUAUGGGCCCUGGUUCAAGUCUCGGCUGUUCCACUUCCUAUUCAGCUCUCUGCUACGGCCUGGGAAAGCAGUAGAGGAUGGCUCAGGUCCUUGGGCCCCAGAGACCUGGAGGAAGCUCCUGAUUCCUGGCUCCUGGCCUCAGCACAGCUCUGGCAGUUGCGGCCAACUUGGGAGUGAACCUGUGGAUGGAAGACCUCUCUUUCUCUCUCUGCCUCUCCUUCUCUCUCUGUGAAACUCUGAUGUUCAAAUAAAGAAAUUAAUUAAUUAAAAAAUAUAAAACCU
Molecule: long non-coding RNA, 2838 nt
Filed under: Oryctolagus cuniculus (rabbit)
Lineage: Eukaryota; Metazoa; Chordata; Mammalia; Lagomorpha; Leporidae
Description: lncRNA (ENSOCUG00000030532.1)
Source: RNAcentral